GGACUACUCGGGUUUCUAAUCCCGUUCGCUCCCCACGCUUUCGCGCUACAGCGUCAGUUACGAGCCAGAAGGCCGCCUUCGCCACUGGUGUUCCUCCCGAUAUCUACGCAUUUCACUACUACACCGGGAAUUCCACCUUCCUCUCUCGCACUCUAGUCGACCAGUAUUGGAGGCAGUUUCAGGGUUAAGCCCUGAGAUUUCACCACCAACUUUGCCAACCGCCUUAACGCGCUUUACGCCCAGUAAAUCCGGAUAACGCUCGCCCCCUACGUAUUACCGCGGCUGCUGGCAC
RNAcentral lists this ribosomal RNA (292 nucleotides) under uncultured bacterium. Its description in RNAcentral is "partial 16S ribosomal RNA". The record is from RNAcentral.